This 253-nucleotide ribosomal RNA is filed under the name uncultured bacterium. RNAcentral's name for it is "partial 16S ribosomal RNA". It matches the Rfam family "Bacterial small subunit ribosomal RNA", at positions 524 to 776 of the family's 1533-position model. The record is from RNAcentral.
UACAUGUGGGGCAAGCGUUGUUCGGAAUUACUGGGCAUAAAGGGUGCGUAGGCGGGUCUUUAAGUCAGGGGUGAAAUCCUGGAGCUCAACUCCAGAACUGCCUUUGAUACUGAGGAUCUUGAGUUCGGGAGAGGUGAGUGGAACUGCGAGUGUAGAGGUGAAAUGCGUAGAGAUCGGGAGGAACACCAGUGGCGAAGGCGGCCGGCUGGGGGUGACCUGACGCUGAGGCGCGAAAGCGUGGGGAGCGAACCGG